RNAcentral lists this ribosomal RNA (1401 nucleotides) under Amolops cremnobatus. RNAcentral's name for it is "partial 16S ribosomal RNA". It matches the Rfam family "Bacterial large subunit ribosomal RNA", at positions 267 to 2598 of the family's 2925-position model. Lineage: Eukaryota; Metazoa; Chordata; Amphibia; Anura; Ranidae. The record is from RNAcentral.
GCCUUAAAUCUAGCCCUUUAAACUCGCAUGCCCACUACACCUACCCCACAGGAUAAAACAUUCUAACAGCAUAGUACAGGCGAUCGAAAAAUUUCUAAGCGCUUCAGAUAAAGUACCGUAAGGAAAGAUGAAAUAGUAAUGAAAUAAUCUUAAAGCCCCAAAUAGCAGAGACAUCCCCUCGUACCUUUUGCAUCAUGGUCUAGCCAGUCUCUCAAGCAAAAUGAAAAUUUUAGUUUGACCCCCCGAAACUGAGUGAGCUACUUCAAAACAGCCUAAAGGGCCAACCCGUCUCUGUCGCAAAAGAGUGGGAAGAUUUUGAAGUAGAGGUGACAAGCCUAUCGAACUCAGAGAUAGCUGGUUGUUCAGGAAAAGAGUCUAAGCUCUACCUUAAGUUUCCUAAUUACAUUUAAAAAUCUAAACUUAAGAGCUAUUCAAAUAAGGCACAGCUUAUUUGAAAAAGGAACACAAUCCCAAUACCGGUUAAUAUGGAAUCCUAAACAAAGUGGGCCUAAAAGCAGCCAUCUUCUAAAAAGCGUUAAAGCUUAACAUAAGAUACCCCCAAUUUUAUAAAUUAUACUUAACCCUUCACUGCUACUGAACUAUUUUAUAUGUAUAUAAAAGUUAUUAUGCUAGAACUAGUAACAAGAAAUUGCCUUUCUCCACAAUGUACCUUUAAACCAGAACGGACCAACCACUGGUAAUUAACGUAACCUAAAGAUUAUAGUAAAAUGUGUCAAGAAAAACCUAUGAUCUAUAAACGUUAACCUAACAACAGCACAUUUCUGGAAAGAUNNNNNNNNNNNNNNNNNNNNNNNNNNNNNNNNNNNNNNNNNNNNNNNNNNNNNCAUCGCCUCUUGAAGAAAUAUAAGAGGUCCAGCCUGCCCAGUGACAUAGUUUAACGGCCGCGGUAUAAUAACCGUGCGAAGGUAGCAUAAUCACUUGUUCUCUAAAUAAGGACUCGUAUCAAUGGCACCACGAGGGUUAUACUGUCUCCUUUCUCUAAUCAGUGAAACUGAUCUCCCCGUGAAGAAGCGGGGAUUAGAUUAUAAGACGAGAAGACCCCAUGGAGCUUUAAACUCAAUACACAUCUCUGUAUACCUAAACCACCUUAACCUAGGAGACUUGUGUUUUAGUUUUCGGCUGGGGAGACCGCGGAGUAAAACUAAACCUCCACAACAAAUGGGCUAAUACCCUUAUCCAUGAGCCACAACUCUAAGAAUCAAUAAAUUGAUGUCCUAUGACCCGAUUAUUCGAUCAAUGAACCAAGUUACCCUGGGGAUAACAGCGCAAUCUAUUUCAAGAGCCCAUAUCGACAAAUAGGUUUACGACCUCGAUGUUGGAUCAGGGUAUCCUGUGGUGCAGCCGCUACCAAAGGUCGUUUGUUCAACGAUUAAAACCCUA